This 427-nucleotide ribosomal RNA is filed under the name uncultured Chromatiaceae bacterium. RNAcentral's name for it is "partial 16S ribosomal RNA". It matches the Rfam family "Bacterial small subunit ribosomal RNA", at positions 355 to 774 of the family's 1533-position model. Lineage: Bacteria; Pseudomonadati; Pseudomonadota; Gammaproteobacteria; Chromatiales; Chromatiaceae. The record is from RNAcentral.
UGGGGAAUAUUGGACAAUGGGCGCAAGCCUGAUCCAGCAAUGCCGCGUGUGUGAAGAAGGCCUGCGGGUUGUAAAGCACUUUCAGCGGGGAAGAAAAGCCCGAAGCUAAUACCCUCGGGUCUUGACGUUACUCGCAGAAGAAGCACCGGCUAACUCCGUGCCAGCAGCCGCGGUAAUACGGAGGGUGCAAGCGUUAAUCGGAAUCACUGGGCGUAAAGCGCGCGUAGGCGGCCAGGUAAGUCAGAUGUGAAAGCCCCGGGCUCAACCUGGGAACCGCAUUUGAUACUGCCGGGCUCGAGUCCGAGAGAGGGGGGUGGAAUUCCAGGUGUAGCGGUGAAAUGCGUAGAUAUCUGGAGGAACACCGGUGGCGAAGGCGGCCCCCUGGCUCGAGACUGACGCUGAGGUGCGAAAGCGUGGGGAGCAAACA